This is a long non-coding RNA of Drosophila gunungcola (fruit fly), 759 nucleotides long. RefSeq lists it as uncharacterized. NCBI's taxonomy places the organism in Eukaryota, Metazoa, Arthropoda, Insecta, Diptera, Drosophilidae. The transcript is spliced from 3 exons. The record is from RefSeq and is a predicted model, not a curated record.
AGCCACGGAGUCCCAGGGCGGAGGACCCCCUAUGCCCUGCAGUCCGAACAAUCGAUUCCGACUCAUCGGACGUCUCACGUCACUAACUUGACGAUUUACCAUCUCUAUCACAAAUCAAAACAAAACAAAGUUAUAUUUACAUAAAAAAACUAAGACAAUUGGACGAAAUUGGUGGCUUCGAUGUCCUUGCCACAACGCACCCACCCAACCUUGGGUGCCCCAAGAAUGAUGUAGGAGGCACACACCAUCUCCGGCAGACCGGAGUCUAUUCCUGGUGGAUUAGGAUCGGCUCAUCUCCCCGCCCAAGAAACACUUAAGGCCGAACUCAGACCGUCGCCCAGAUGAGAAGCGGUCAAAGCGGCAACAACAGAAGGGAAAAUUUUAGACGUUUAAAAUUACAAGUGUUCGGCAAAAUCGCCGCACGACACUAAAUUGGAGGCGUUUGCCAACCGGGUCGCCUAAUCCUGAAGAGCUCCAAGGGAAAAGAAGGGACGUGCUGAAAAGACGUAGUAGUACGCGCGGCUAGGGUUCGGAAUUAAGCCUCUAAUUUUAGAUUAGAUUUCACAGUGAGUACUUGACAAUCUUGACUGUAUGAUAUCACAAAAAUAAUAGCUAAAACUUAUUUAUUGCAGAGUUCAACGUCGGAUGUGGUUGAAGCUGCAGCCAGAAGAGAAAAAUCGCUAGCGGCGAAAUCCAGCGCGAGUCCGCACGGAGCCAAUUGGUCCGGAGGAUAGCGCAGCGUCUGCGUAAGAGGGGCCA